Molecule: long non-coding RNA, 1101 nt
Filed under: Homo sapiens (human)
Lineage: Eukaryota; Metazoa; Chordata; Mammalia; Primates; Hominidae
Description: HSALNT0068762
Source: RNAcentral
GGAGGAGGAUCGUGAGGCCAGUCCUCUAGGCUUGAAUCGCACGUCCCAGAGAGAGCGCCAGGAUGUGCUGAGAAAAUAGCCAGCACAUCCUGUGGUCUUUGCGGGGAAGAAGGGACUGGAUUUGGGUCUUAGCCCUGUGGCCGAGACGCGAGUCCUCACGGACUCUCUUCCAGCAUCUGGUCCAGGUGCAGACCAGAUGUUGGACAAUAAAGCCAACACACAGCCUGGGCAUGUGGGGCAGAAGCAAGUCAGGAGGGCACCUGCUGGCCCUGAGCUCUUCUCACCCUCCCUGCACAGCCCUUGAGCUUGGCAGGUGCACCCAGCAGCCAUGACUUUCUCGCCCCACACCAUCCGCAUCGAACGCGCUGCCCUGGAGUCUCAGCUCUUGCUUCCCUGGAGGCCCUUGUUGAAGUCUCAAAAUGAGAAGGCCCAAGGGAAACGUGUUUGAAAGGACUGAGCUUCCCCACCCCGGGGAGCCCCCCAUGCCUGGCGGCACGCAUGUCAAGAGCACACACACUCGGGCCAACAGCCUGGCAACGCCUCCUCCUACCUCAGGCAGCUGCGGUCAUGUUGAAACCUCAGAACCACAAGAGGAAAAGCAAAAACCAACAAGGCAUUCCACGGGAAAUGGACAGAGCAGCUCUGAAUAAGAAACCUCUGAGGAGUAGGAACGCCGUCCACAGGCAGGCCAGGAAAUAAAUAAUCUGUGGUUCAACCAGGUCGGUUACAUUGGCUCAUGAAUUCAUGGGGCAGAGGAGCAUGGGGCAGAGCCAUGGCAGCGAGGGUGGCACGGGCCAAGAGUCCGCUACAGAGGAAAUGCAUCUCAUGCUUUAUGAAAAUAAUCUAAUACUUAAGAAAAUUAGGAGAUUUUCACUGAGUCACUAUCAUCUUUCCUACAAACCAGCAUGCUUCCUACUUUCUACUCCAUUUAAGGAGGCAUUCCAGGCUCACUCCUUCAGCAACGGCAGCUUUGGGGCCACAGUGCCUUGGGCAUUACUGAAAUAGGAUGUGCACAUGGCUAUCUGAUGGGCGUGAAGAGGCUGAGCGUGUGGGUGAGUGGUGAAGAUGGAAGUGGCUCUGGCCCCAUAGGACACAUGCUAG